CCUACGGGCGGCUGCAGUGGGGAAUAUUGCACAAUGGGGGGAACCCUGAUGCAGCGACGCCGCGUGGGUGAAGGAGCGUUUCGGCGCGUAAAGCCCUAUCGGCAGGGAAGAAGGAGGACGGUACCUGACUAAGAAGCCCCGGCUAACUACGUGCCAGCAGCCGCGGGAAUACGUAGGGGGCAAGCGUUAUCCGGAUUUACUGGGUGUAAAGGGGGCGCAGACGGCAGCGCAAGCCAGGAGUGAAAGCCCGGGGCCCAACCCCGGGACUGCUCUUGGAACUGCGCGGCUGGAGUACAGGAGGGGCAGGCGGAAUUCCUGGUGUAGCGGUGAGAUGCGUAGAUAUCAGGAGGAACACCGGUGGCGAAGGCGGCCUGCUGGACUGCGACUGACGUUGAGGCCCGAAAGCGUGGGGAGCAAACAGGAUUAGAUACCCCUGUAGUC
This 441-nucleotide ribosomal RNA is filed under the name uncultured bacterium. RNAcentral describes it as "partial 16S ribosomal RNA". It matches the Rfam family "Bacterial small subunit ribosomal RNA", at positions 338 to 795 of the family's 1533-position model. The record is from RNAcentral.